GCUGGGUGUGGUGGCUCAUGCCUGUAAUCCCAGUGACUCAGGAGGCUGAGGCAGGAGGAUUGCAAGUUCAAAGCCUGCUCAAAAAUUUAGCAAGGCCCUAAGCAACUUAGUGAAACCUUGUCUCUA
This 126-nucleotide small RNA is filed under the name Marmota monax (woodchuck). Lineage: Eukaryota; Metazoa; Chordata; Mammalia; Rodentia; Sciuridae. The record is from RNAcentral.